RNAcentral lists this unclassified non-coding RNA (319 nucleotides) under Hevea brasiliensis (rubber tree). Lineage: Eukaryota; Viridiplantae; Streptophyta; Magnoliopsida; Malpighiales; Euphorbiaceae. The record is from RNAcentral.
CAGCUGCAAAGUUUGAGGGCUUUGUUUUUUCAACGGAAGUGAGUCGAUAACAAAAACAUUAAUAAUUUAGACUUUAGAUGGCACUUGUCCCCUCUGACUGCAAACAUGGUUAUUUAUAGAUGCAUAGAAAUUCAUACAAAAUAGAUGAUGCCCUCAGCGAGGCCAUGGGCAGGUCUGCUCAAUUGAAGAAAUUCCACAUUCAAUCAGCUAUCUUGAACAGGUGAUUCAAAAUUUCAGAAGCACUGGCAACUAGAGAAUUGGGACACUCGCUCAAAAAUUUCAGAAGCUCCUAUACGAAAAAAAAAAAAAAAACCCACCA